UCCCUUUUCAACAACGGAUCUCUUGGCCCUNGCAUCGAUGAAGGACGUAGCGAAGUGCGAUAAGUAAUGUGAAUUGCAGAANUCCGUGAAUCAUCGNAUCUUUGAACGCAAAUUGCACUCUCUGGCAACCCGGGGAGUAUGCCUGUUUGAGGGUCAGU
RNAcentral lists this ribosomal RNA (158 nucleotides) under uncultured Glomus. Its description in RNAcentral is "5.8S ribosomal RNA". It matches the Rfam family "5.8S ribosomal RNA". From Rfam's summary of the family: 5.8S ribosomal RNA (5.8S rRNA) is a component of the large subunit of the eukaryotic ribosome. It is transcribed by RNA polymerase I as part of the 45S precursor that also contains 18S and 28S rRNA. The record is from RNAcentral. Lineage: Eukaryota; Fungi; Glomeromycota; Glomeromycetes; Glomerales; Glomeraceae.